CCUACGGGAGGCAGCAGUGGGGAAUAUUGGGCAAUGGGCGCAAGCCUGACCCAGCAACGCCGCGUGAAGGAAGAAGGCUUUCGGGUUGUAAACUUCUUUUGACAGGGAAGAGUAGAAGACGGUACCUGUCGAAUAAGCCACGGCUAACUACGUGCCAGCAGCCGCGGUAAUACGUAGGUGGCAAGCGUUGUCCGGAUUUACUGGGUGUAAAGGGCGUGUAGCCGGGUUGACAAGUCAGAUGUGAAAUCCUGCGGCUUAACCGCAGAACUGCAUUUGAAACUGUUGAUCUUGAGUACUGGAGAGGCAGACGGAAUUCCUAGUGUAGCGGUGAAAUGCGUAGAUAUUAGGAGGAACACCAGUGGCGAAGGCGACUUUCUGGACUGUACCUGACGCUGAGGCGCGAAAGCGUGGGUAGCGAACGGGAUUAGAUACCCCUAGUAGUC
This 443-nucleotide ribosomal RNA is filed under the name uncultured bacterium. Its description in RNAcentral is "partial 16S ribosomal RNA". It matches the Rfam family "Bacterial small subunit ribosomal RNA", at positions 338 to 795 of the family's 1533-position model. The record is from RNAcentral.